RNAcentral lists this transfer RNA (61 nucleotides) under Heterocephalus glaber (naked mole-rat). It matches the Rfam family "tRNA", at positions 6 to 65 of the family's 71-position model. Rfam says of the family: Transfer RNA (tRNA) molecules are approximately 80 nucleotides in length. Their secondary structure includes four short double-helical elements and three loops (D, anti-codon, and T loops). Further hydrogen bonds mediate the characteristic L-shaped molecular structure. tRNAs have two regions of fundamental functional importance: the anti-codon, which is responsible for specific mRNA codon recognition, and the 3' end, to which the tRNAs corresponding amino acid is attached (by aminoacyl-tRNA synthetases). tRNAs cope with the degeneracy of the genetic code in two manners: having more than one tRNA (with a specific anti-codon) for a particular amino acid; and 'wobble' base-pairing, i.e. permitting non-standard base-pairing at the 3rd anti-codon position. Lineage: Eukaryota; Metazoa; Chordata; Mammalia; Rodentia; Bathyergidae. The record is from Rfam by way of RNAcentral.
UGUGGCUUAGUGGUAGAGCACCUGGCUAGCAUACAGGAGAUCCUGGGUUCAUUCCUCAGCA